GGAAGUAAAAAGUCGUAACAAGGUUUCCGUAGGUGAACCUGCGGAAGGAUCAUUAAAAAAUAUCACAUUUGUUUGUGAUUUAAUAAUCAUCCUACCCUUUGUGAAUUUGUUUUUGUUUUGAAAUUUAUGUUGUCUAUCCCCUGGAUUAUGAAAGAAAAGUUGUAAAAAGACUUUUUUUUUCAUUCUAGGGAAUAGGCUUUCAUAGACAUUUCUUUAAAUUAAACUUUUUGUAUUCAUUUGUCUAAAAUUUAUUUUUUAAAUAGUUUAAAAAAACAACUUUUUGACAAUGGAUCUCUUGGUUCUCGCAAACGAUGAAGAACGCAGCAAAAAUGCGAUAAGUAAUGUGAAUUGCAGAAUACGUGAAUCAUCAAAUUUUCGAACGCAUAUUGCACUUUUUUUAGUUUACUAAAAAAGUAUGUCUGUUUGAGUAUCAGUAAAAAUAUUCUCAUAAAAACUAUUGUUUUUAUGGUUAUGAGUGUUUUACAACGAUAACAAGUUGUUUCAUUUUAAAUUGAUUUUUUUUUAAUAAGCCAAUUUGGUUUUAUUUUUAAAAAUUGGAUAAAAUUUUUCCCGUAAAAAAGGAAUAAACUUUUCAGUUUUAAAGUUAAAAACUUAAAUUGACCUACAAAAAAGGAAAUUUAAUUAUAAAACUAACUUGAUCUCAAAUCAGAUAAGAGUACCCGCUGAACUUAAGCAUAUCAAUAAGCGGAGGAAAAGAAACUAACAAGGAUUCCCUUAGUAAACGGCGAGUGAAGCGGGAAGAGCUCAAAUUUGAAAAUCUUCAAGGUUCUACCUUGACGAAUUGUAGUUUAAAGAAGUGUUUUCUGUUAGUGGAGUGGCAAAAGUUCUUUGGAAUAGGACAUCAUAGAGGGUGAGAAUCCCGUAUUUGGUCAUUCCUUCUAGCUUUGUGAUACACUUUCAAAGAGUCGGAUUGUUUGGGAAUGCAGUCCAAAAAUGGGUGGUAAAUUUCAUCUAAAAGCUAAAUAUUGGCGAGAGGACCGAUAGCGAACAAGUACCGUGAGGGAAAGAUGAAAAAGAACUUUGAAAAAGAGAGUUAAAACAGUACGUGAAAUUGUCAAAAAGGGAAGCGUUUGACACCAGUGUUGUUUUUCCGAAAAUCAAUUAUAAAGUGUUUUUGUUUUCUGAGGAGUGAUGACUUCAUCGGCUUCCUUCUCUCUUCACGAAACUUUUGUAAUGCACUUUUCGGUUAACAAGUCAACAUCAAUUUCUUUUGUUGUAAAAGAGUAUUCGGAAGGUGGCUUUCUUUUCGGAG
This 1273-nucleotide unclassified non-coding RNA is filed under the name uncultured Neocallimastigales. Its description in RNAcentral is "partial contains small subunit ribosomal RNA, internal transcribed spacer 1, 5.8S ribosomal RNA, internal transcribed spacer 2, and large subunit ribosomal RNA". The stretch from base 657 to 1273 matches the Rfam family "Eukaryotic large subunit ribosomal RNA", at positions 1 to 613 of the family's 3401-position model. The record is from RNAcentral. Lineage: Eukaryota; Fungi; Neocallimastigomycota; Neocallimastigomycetes; Neocallimastigales.